GUUGACCGGCCAUUUCAC
This 18-nucleotide small nuclear RNA is filed under the name Arabidopsis thaliana (thale cress). Its description in RNAcentral is "snRNA_02704". Lineage: Eukaryota; Viridiplantae; Streptophyta; Magnoliopsida; Brassicales; Brassicaceae. The record is from RNAcentral.